CCCGUUACGGGGCGCGCGCGGCCGCCUCCUCUCAGCUCCUGCCCGCGCGAGGCUGCCGGGCUCGGCCCUGUGGAGGCGCUGCCCUCGCUCUGGGCGGAGGUGACCGUUGGAGAAGCCUCGGCAGCCCACGCGCGCACUUGCCGCGGGAGUCCCGUUUCCUUAAGAAAUCGGGAGUUAAGUCUGUGGAACUAAGCAGAAAUCAGCCAAGCUUCCUCCUUAGGAGGAGCCAAGUCCAAGGAACUCAUCAAACUCCGAAGACCAGGAGCUGACUUAAAGUUGUUUCCUGGAGUCUACAUGCUUUGUUUGCCAUAGUCACACAGAGUUCAUUGCAAAGCAUUCUACUCACAUUUAGAGCGACAGCACCAAAGGGGCAUCUGAGCUGCCAGUUACACAGCAACAUUUCUCUCUGACACAUGAAGUGAUAGAAGCUGGAAAAUCAUUUGGCGAUGUCCUCUGCUCUGUAAAUUGGCUUAGUCCAUAAAAGUCAACUAAAUUAGACUGAAUCAAUGUUGGCAGAGGAAGUUUCUUAACAAAAUGAACGUAACAUUUCUAAAAUGAAGUGAAAAGCCCUAAUAAAAG
RNAcentral lists this long non-coding RNA (579 nucleotides) under Struthio camelus australis. Its description in RNAcentral is "lncRNA (ENSSCUG00000017004.1)". Lineage: Eukaryota; Metazoa; Chordata; Aves; Struthioniformes; Struthionidae. The record is from RNAcentral.